GGGAAUGAAACUGUGACCUCCUGGUUCGUGGGUCUACGCUCAACCACUGAGACAUACAGGUUGGGCUGAACUCUCUCUUAAUACUUGGUUAAAAAAAUUUUUUUCAUUUGGUUAGAACUCCCCCACCCCCUGCCCCGUGACCUUUUCCAUCCUUAACUCUAACAUACAUUGAUUUAGUUGGAUUAUUUUCCUUCUCAGAAAGAAAGGAGGUUGUUGCCCUACCCCUUAGUAAUAAAUACAUUGUACUUUAAAAAUUUCUUUAACAUCAUAUGCCUGCCAUUUAGUUUACACUGGGGGAAGAAAAGUUGGCUCUGAGUAUUUGAAAGCGAUCUCAAACUGUACAAAUAAUGGUUGAUCAUUUGGUAAAUAAAAGUUACAUAACAGCUUAAUGAGAAGUCAGCAUGACUCUGAAUAAGCUUUACCCUAGAAGUUUAU
Molecule: long non-coding RNA, 435 nt
Organism: Myotis brandtii (Brandt's bat)
Lineage: Eukaryota; Metazoa; Chordata; Mammalia; Chiroptera; Vespertilionidae
Exons: 2
Source: RefSeq, a predicted model, not a curated record